This 100-nucleotide microRNA precursor is filed under the name Mus caroli (Ryukyu mouse). RNAcentral's name for it is "microRNA 710 (MGP_CAROLIEiJ_G0008183.1)". Lineage: Eukaryota; Metazoa; Chordata; Mammalia; Rodentia; Muridae. The record is from RNAcentral.
CUCUCCCGUCAAAUAGAAGCCAAGUCUUGAGCUUGGAGUGAAAGCUGACACACACCUUCAACUCUUUAGGAGUUAGGUAUCUGAAGUGGAGUGGAUGGAG